CGCGUAGGUGGUUUGUUAAGCGAGAUGUGAAAGCCCCGGGCUUAACCUGGGAACGGCAUUUCGAACUGGCAGACUAGAGUGUGGUAGAGGGUAGUGGAAUUCCCUGUGUAGCGGUGAAAUGCGUAGAUAUAGGAAGGAACACCAGUGGCGAAGGCGGCUACCUGGACCAACACUGACACUGAGGUGCGAAAGCGUGGGGAGCAAACA
RNAcentral lists this ribosomal RNA (207 nucleotides) under uncultured bacterium. RNAcentral describes it as "partial 16S ribosomal RNA". It matches the Rfam family "Bacterial small subunit ribosomal RNA", at positions 568 to 774 of the family's 1533-position model. The record is from RNAcentral.